This 65-nucleotide microRNA precursor is filed under the name Nannospalax galili (Upper Galilee mountains blind mole rat). RNAcentral describes it as "miRNA (ENSNGAG00000006433.1)". It matches the Rfam family "mir-33 microRNA precursor family". Lineage: Eukaryota; Metazoa; Chordata; Mammalia; Rodentia; Spalacidae. The record is from Rfam by way of RNAcentral.
CCGCGGUGCAUUGCUGUUGCAUUGCAUGUGUGAAGCGGGUGCAAUGCCUCAGCAGUGCAGCCCAG